This 664-nucleotide ribosomal RNA is filed under the name uncultured bacterium. Its description in RNAcentral is "bacterial SSU rRNA". It matches the Rfam family "Bacterial small subunit ribosomal RNA", at positions 63 to 716 of the family's 1533-position model. The record is from RNAcentral.
CGAACGGUAACAGGAAGAAGCUUGCUUCUUUGCUGACGAGUGGCGGACGGGUGAGUAAUGUCUGGGAAACUGCCUGAUGGAGGGGGAUAACUACUGGAAACGGUAGCUAAUACCGCAUAACGUCGCAAAACCAAAGAGGGGGACCUUCGGGCCUCUUGCCAUCGGAUGUGCCCAGAUGGGAUUAGCUAGUAGGCGGGGUAACGGCUCACCUAGGCGACGAUCCCUAGCUGGUCUGAGAGGAUGACCAGCCACACUGGAACUGAGACACGGUCCAGACUCCUACGGGAGGCAGCAGUGGGGAAUAUUGCACAAUGGGCGCAAGCCUGAUGCAGCCAUGCCGCGUGUAUGAAGAAGGCCUUCGGGUUGUAAAGUACUUUCAGCGGGGAGGAAGGGAGUAAAGUUAAUACCUUUGCUCAUUGACGUUACCCGCAGAAGAGGCACCGGCUAACUCCGUGCCAGCAGCCGCGGUAAUACGGAGGGUGCAAGCGUUAAUCGGAAUUACUGGGCGUAAAGCGCACGCAGGCGGUUUGUUAAGUCAGAUGUGAAAUCCCCGGGCUCAACCUGGGAACUGCAUCUGAUACUGGCAAGCUUGAGUCUCGUAGAGGGGGGUAGAAUUCCAGGUGUAGCGGUGAAAUGCGUAGAGAUCUGGAGGAAUACCGGUGGC